AUACGUAGGGUGCGAGCGUUGUCCGGAAUUACUGGGCGUAAAGAGCUCGUAGGUGGUUUGUCGCGUCGUCUGUGAAAUUCCGGGGCUUAACUCCGGGCGUGCAGGCGAUACGGGCAUAACUUGAGUACUGUAGGGGAGACUGGAUUUCCUGUGGUAGCGGUGAAAUGCGCAGAUAUCAGGAGGAACACCGGUGGCGAAGGCGGGUCUCUGGGCAGUAACUGACGCUGAGGAGCGAAAGCAUGGGUAGCGAACAGGAUUAGAUACCCUGGUAGUCCAUGCCGUAAACGGUGGGCGCUAGGUGUAGGGGUCUUCCACGACUUCUGUGCCGUAGCUAACGCAUUAAGCGCCCCGCCUGGGGAGUACGGCCGCAAGGCUAAAACUCAAAUGAAUUGACGGGG
This 398-nucleotide ribosomal RNA is filed under the name uncultured bacterium. RNAcentral describes it as "partial 16S ribosomal RNA". It matches the Rfam family "Bacterial small subunit ribosomal RNA", at positions 523 to 918 of the family's 1533-position model. The record is from RNAcentral.